Chlorocebus sabaeus (green monkey) is the source of this 2669-nucleotide non-coding RNA. The record is from RefSeq and is a predicted model, not a curated record. NCBI's taxonomy places the organism in Eukaryota, Metazoa, Chordata, Mammalia, Primates, Cercopithecidae.
GCGUUAGCCAGGAUGGUCUCGAUCUCCUGACCUUGUGAUCCGCCCACCUUGGCCUCCCAAAGUGCUGGGAUUACAGGCGUGAGCCACCGCGCCCGGCCUCUGAGUGGACAUUUUUAAGGACAAUGCUAUGGACUGAAUGUUUGUGUCCCCCCAAACUUCAUAUGUUGACAUCCUAAUCUUUAGUGUGACAGUAUUGGGAGGUGAAGCUUUAGGAAAUAAUUAUGUCAUAAGGCUGAAGCCCGUGUGAGUGGGAUUAGUGCCCUUACAAAGGGGACCCCAGAGAGUACUCUAGCUAUCUUUCUACCAUGUGAGGACACAGUAAGAAGUCAACUAUUUGCAACCAAAAGAGGGUCCUCACGAGAACCUGGUGGUGCUGGAACCGUGAUCUCAGACUUCCAGCCUCCAGAACUGUGAGAAAUAGAUUUGUUUUCUUGAUAAGCCCACCAGUUUGUGAUAUUAUUGCAGCCGGAGCUGACUUGGGCAGAAAUCGCAUAACAGAAUGCCUUUAGUAGUUCCAAUGAACUUGCAUCAUGGGAUGCUAGAAUCAUGGAAAUUGGAUAGAGAAAUAGAGCAUCUGUUCUCUCAGCAAGACAUUUCCAAAUCAGUUUUCCUAUCUGUAAGAGGAGAGGAAGGUUUUGUUUGUUUUUUAAGCAGCCAUUUAUUUUGCACCUGCCAUUUGUUAGAUGCUAUUUUAGGGACUUUCCUUACUUUAUGUCUUUUAAUUUUCAGUCAGCUAUUAAGAGAAAUAAUAUUCCCACUUUUCAGAUAAGAAAGAUAAGACCUGGACUAAAUGAUUUGCCCAGAGUCACAGAGAAAAGUAUCAGAACCUGAAUUCCAUACUGGCCCAGUCAACUUCAAAGCCUCUGCCUUAUUUAUUAUGUUAAGAUGCCUUCUAUAACUAAGAGAUAAUGUUUCUGUAAGAAAAAGUGAUCUUGUCUACCUCUGGCUAGCAGAAGAAACUGACUGGUGUAUCACAGAGAUAGCUAAGUAAUGAAGAACAAGAUGAACUGAGUGGAAUGAACAGCUGUUACAAAUGGAGAAACUAUCAAAGAGCAGUGUAAUUGAGGAGCAGUGUAGUGUAGCAGUCAAGAGCACGGAUCUGAAAUCAGACCAGCCUGGAUUUAAGUUUUGGCUCUACCAUUACCCAGAUGUUUCAUCUUUCUCCAAGUUACACACUCUCAGCCUCAGUUUUUUCACCCAUAAACAAGCAUAUAAGGAUAAUAACCUGCCUCAGGUUGUAAGGAUUAAAGGGAACUUAUAUAAAACCUAUAAUGAAUCUUACUCACUAGGCUCUUAAUAAAUAGUAGUUCCUCUUAUAAGCAGAACAGGGCCAAGUAGUAAUUACAACUGAGAAGAGAAAAUGCUGUUCAAAGCAAGAUGAAAAAGGUGAGUAAAGUCCCUUAGAGAGCUCAGCCCUACAGGAUUUGAGAUUCUCAUUCUUUCAUACCCUCUCUCCUUCCCUCCCCAUUUUUCUUCUUCAACUACUUCCCUCUUUUCCUCUCUCUCCCCCCACCAAAUAUUAUGCUAGACUCCACAUGCAGCAUGUCAUUUUAUCCACCUUGAGCUUGCUCUUGCCCUGCUCUUCUCGCUGUGGAAUUCUCUUCCUCCUGUCCCUCCUUCCUACUUCUGAGCUUCCACCCCCGCUUCCUACUCUGAGCUUCCUUCUCCAGGUUUGCUCCUUCUUUCCAUCAGCUAUCACUUUAUCACCACCUCCUCAAAGAGGCCAUGUUCAUGUCCAGGCCCACAAUCUCAAGUAGCCAUCCUGUGAUUCUGUAUCAUAUUAUCCUUUUUAAACUCUAUGCAGCACUUACUACCUCUGAUGUUUGUCUUCUUUAAGGAUUUGAUUGCCUCAUGUGACAAGCCCAAGAUCUGUGACAGCUGGAGCUCAAACUAGGCGGUCUUGAUUCCAGACUCCUCUAAACUAGUAUUUCAAGGAACUAAUGCCCAUGACAUGUUAAAUGGAAGUUUGGGGACUUACACUCAGGAUGGAAGCAGGGGGACACAGCAGAAAUGAAAGAAUUUUUUGUGGAUCUGAGAUCUGGACACCUGCCCCCCUCAUGCACCCUCAGUCAUCACAAUCAUUAGACUGGACGUCUGUCUCCGUGGAGAAUAUGUGAAUACCUCCGAAUAUACUUCCUGAAGGAGCUGCCAAACUAUUUCCAGCAAUGGCAAAACAUAGAACGAAUCCAAGCCAUUUGACAGAUAUUCACUGAAGACCUAUUCUAUGCCAAGCACUGUGCCAGGCAGAGGGAAAGCCCUCAUAUCGGGCAGAGCUGGUCUUCUCCAGUAGAUCUUGUGAGACUUAUUGGCUCUCAUUCUCUCUUGCCACUGCCAUGUGGCCCUUAUAUUGACACGUUUUUAAAUUAUUCUCUAAAAGGAGCCAUUAACCAUUGUCCAAGCUCAUGUAAAAGAUGAAGAGAUGCUGGGAAGGUAUCAAAUCAGUUUGGGUCCAGUUAGCCCCAAGGAUUCUUUGUUAGGCCACGCUACUAAGUCUCUCAGACUUUAAUCCCAUUUUUGGGGGGCUCACAUAUAUCCUGGGGCAUUGUGAGGUAAGAAUAAGUCAGUCAGGAACCAAACAAAAUUCAAAGAAAUGGAUAGGCAUCACGAUAUGGUUUGGCUCUGUGUCCCCACCCAAAUCUCAUCUCAAAUUGUAAUCCCCACAUAUGGAG